AAUGAACGCUGGCGGCGUGCUUAACACAUGCAAGUCGAACGGUAACAGGAAGAAGCUUGCUUCUUUGCUGACGAGUGGCGCACGGGUGAGUAAUAUAUAGGUAAUGUGCCCCUUGGACCGGGAUAGCCACUGGAAACGGUGAUUAAUACUGGAUACUCCUUUCAAUCAAAAGAUUGAUUGGGAAAUGGAUUCCGCCAAGGGAUCGGCCUAUAUCCUAUCAGCUAGUUGGCGAGGUAAGAGCUCACCAAGGCGAUGACGGGUAGCGGGUUUGAGAGGAUGAUCCGCCACACUGGUACUGAGACACGGACCAGACUCCUACGGGAGGCAGCAGUGAGGAAUAUUGCACAAUGGGGGCAACCCUGAUGCAGCAACGCCGCGUGGAGGAUGACGCAUUUCGGUGUGUAAACUCCUUUUAUAUGUCAAGAAAAUGACGGUAGCAUAUGAAUAAGCACCGGCUAACUCCGUGCCAGCAGCCGCGGUAAUACGGAGGGUGCAAGCGUUAUUCGGAAUCACUGGGCGUAAAGGACGCGUAGGCGGGUUUGUAAGUCAGGUGUGAAAUCCUACAGCUUAACUGUAGAACUGCACUUGAAACUACAAGCCUAGAGUAUGGGAGGGGCAGAUGGAAUUAGUGGUGUAGGGGUAAAAUCCGUAGAUAUCACUAGGAAUACCGAAAGCGAAGGCGAUCUGCUGGAACAUAACUGACGCUAAGGCGUGAAAGCGUGGGGAGCAACAGGAUUAAU
RNAcentral lists this ribosomal RNA (740 nucleotides) under uncultured bacterium. RNAcentral describes it as "bacterial SSU rRNA". It matches the Rfam family "Bacterial small subunit ribosomal RNA", at positions 28 to 782 of the family's 1533-position model. The record is from RNAcentral.